This 85-nucleotide transfer RNA is filed under the name Campylobacterales bacterium. Its description in RNAcentral is "tRNA-Tyr". It matches the Rfam family "tRNA". Rfam says of the family: Transfer RNA (tRNA) molecules are approximately 80 nucleotides in length. Lineage: Bacteria; Pseudomonadati; Campylobacterota; Epsilonproteobacteria; Campylobacterales. The record is from RNAcentral.
GGUGAGUUACUCAAGUGGCCAACGAGGGCAGACUGUAAAUCUGCUGACUAUGUCUUCGGAAGUUCGAAUCUUCCACUCACCACCA